This 408-nucleotide ribosomal RNA is filed under the name uncultured bacterium. Its description in RNAcentral is "partial 16S ribosomal RNA". It matches the Rfam family "Bacterial small subunit ribosomal RNA", at positions 29 to 526 of the family's 1533-position model. The record is from RNAcentral.
AGUGAACGCUGGCGGCGUACCUAAUACAUGCAAGUCGAAGGAAGUGGCGCACGGGUGAGUAAUAUAUAGCUAAUCUGCCCCUUGCUGGAGGACAACAGUUAGAAAUGACUGCUAAUACGCCAUAGCAAGGGAUGAGACUAUAUCGUAGCAGCUAGACGGUGUGGUAACGGCCUACCGAGGCUAUGACGCGUAACUGGUCUGAGAGGAUGAUCAGUCACAUUGGAACUGAAACACGGUCCAAACUCCUACGGGAGGCAGCAGUAGGGAAUAUUGCGCAAUGGGGGAAACCCUGACGAAGCAACGCCGCGUGGAGGAUGACACUUUUCGGAGCGUAAACUCCUUUUGUUAGGGAAGCUUUCCCUCUCUCCUAAGCACCGGCUAACUCCGUGCCAGCAGCCGCAGUCGUCC